RNAcentral lists this ribosomal RNA (475 nucleotides) under uncultured soil bacterium. RNAcentral's name for it is "bacterial SSU rRNA". It matches the Rfam family "Bacterial small subunit ribosomal RNA", at positions 26 to 518 of the family's 1533-position model. The record is from RNAcentral.
AGGAUGAACGCUGGCGGCGUGCUUAACACAUGCAAGUCGAACGAUGAUCCCUAGCUUGCUGGGGGGAUUAGUGGCGAACGGGUGAGUAACACGUGAGUAACCUGCCCUUGACUCUGGGAUAAGCCUGGGAAACUGGGUCUAAUACUGGAUACGACCUUCCAUCGCAUGGUGGUUGGUGGAAAGCUUUUGUGGUUUUGGAUGGACUCGCGGCCUAUCAGCUUGUUGGUGGGGUAAUGGCCUACCAAGGCGACGACGGGUAGCCGGCCUGAGAGGGUGGACGGCCACACUGGGACUGAGACACGGCCCAGACUCCUACGGGAGGCAGCAGUGGGGAAUAUUGCACAAUGGGCGCAAGCCUGAUGCAGCGACGCCGCGUGAGGGAUGAAGGCCUUCGGUUGUAAACCUCUUUCAGUAGGAAGAAGCGAAAGUGACGGUACUGCAGAAGAGCGCCGGCUAACUACGUGCCAGCAGCCGC